UUUUCAUAAAUAAAACGUUUAAAAGGGUUAAUCAUGAAAUGCUCGUUGACGCGUAAAACAUAAGCGAACCGAUACUGCUCCAUGGUAUUCGAACGAACAUACGCGUUCCCACAAACCAUCCAGCAAAGAGAAAAAUGCUUUUCCUGCAUCGUAACGAUCUACUGUGCACCUAACGAACACUUCACGAGCCAACAAAGGCCAGCCAGAAAGGACGCUGCUUUUUUCCGUCAUUGUCCUUAUAAAUACUUCUUAGCCGUUGUACCAGCUCCGCGAACCGCAUAGCAGCCACGGCCAAAGAGGACAACGUGCUUAGGCGUGUCUAAACGGUUCACCGUCACUGUCCUACGCCAGUAUAUUUGUACCGCGUUCCUCGUCCGUGCAACCGAACGAACGAACCGCGCUCGGUUAGUGCUGUACAAUCUCCUCGGCGGUCAGUUGCGCUUGAUGAUCACGGCACGGCGUGCCGACUGCGAACGUACGUUCUUUCCGGCCGACUUUUAUAUGUGUUUCGGUCGUCCGGUCGCGAAACUUUGUCCGGAACAGUUCGACGCAGCCGGUGGUGAAAAGCUCAUCGCGGAAUUCAUUGUGCAAGCGAGUGCUCUCUCUCCCGGGAUAGAGUGAGUGAGAGAGAGAGAGAGAGAUAGAGGUUAUGUGAGUGAACUCGAAUGAACUUGAGCGAGUGUUCGGUACCACAGUUCCCGUUAACAAUCUCCUGCGAACGGUGCACGCCUGCGGGAAAAUGUUGUUGCAUCGUUUAGCUCGUUACCCGUUCGCCUGACACACUUUUCCGCCGGUCUCGGAUGAAGCAACUUUUUCCGCCCGUAAACUCGAUUCGAACGCGCGCAGGGGGUUAGGUCGCCGCCGUGUCCGUUUCUUUCUAUCGCGCGUCGGCGAAAGUGGAACUACGUACCUCGCCACUCGGCGUCCCGCGUCGCAUUUCUACUAGCUCUGUGAUUGGACGAGAUUCUCGAACGGGCAGCGUUCGAGGAUCGGUGCGUUAGGACACGCUAUCCGGCCGAGCAGAAACUAGGCAACGAGAUCGUUGCUUCUGGUCUCCUGAUAGGACAGUUCUUCUCGCGUCCCGGAAAUUCGCCGGUCUUGCGGUGCUAGGGCAGCUCUUAGGUCAGCGCUAAAGUGUCGACGGGAAGAGUCUACGUCGUAGAUUCUUUUGUCCGGUGUGCGCGUCGAGAAAAUUAAGAGCCAGUUUUCGGUUACUUUGGUACAGCCUCUAACUGUCGGAAAAUUUUGAUAUUUUAUCUUGGAUCUUUUGCAAUUUCGCUCGCUGCCUGUCGCCGAAAUUUAAAUAUUCCGCCAAAAUAUGCGAUUCGGCGCCAGAUAUUGCACCAGCAUAACCUAUCACAAGGCAAGAAAAAAAGAAAGGUGCUUCGUCGGGGGACCGUAGAAUGAAAUAGAACGAUUUAUUUGUUAUUUUGCGGGAUGACAUUGUGAUAUCGUUCAAAGACAAUAAUAAACGAAACAAAACAUGCUUCGACGAAACCAAAAAGCUCUACUCUACUGUGAACUGUUUGGGC
This is a non-coding RNA of Megalopta genalis, 1532 nucleotides long. The record is from RefSeq and is a predicted model, not a curated record. NCBI's taxonomy places the organism in Eukaryota, Metazoa, Arthropoda, Insecta, Hymenoptera, Halictidae.